This is a small nucleolar RNA of Trachemys scripta elegans, 78 nucleotides long. RefSeq annotates it as small nucleolar RNA SNORD53/SNORD92. The transcript has a single exon. The record is from RefSeq and is a predicted model, not a curated record. NCBI's taxonomy places the organism in Eukaryota, Metazoa, Chordata, Testudines, Emydidae.
AUGCGAUGAUGAUUCAACUGGUUUCAAUUCACUGACAAUAAAAUGAGGAUGUGAAUUUCCUUGGCUGUGUCUGAGCAU